This 465-nucleotide ribosomal RNA is filed under the name Vreelandella stevensii. Its description in RNAcentral is "partial 16S ribosomal RNA". It matches the Rfam family "Bacterial small subunit ribosomal RNA", at positions 338 to 795 of the family's 1533-position model. The record is from RNAcentral. Lineage: Bacteria; Pseudomonadati; Pseudomonadota; Gammaproteobacteria; Oceanospirillales; Halomonadaceae.
CCUACGGGGGGCAGCAGUGGGGAAUAUUGGACAAUGGGGGCAACCCUGAUCCAGCCAUGCCGCGUGUGUGAAGAAGGCCCUCGGGUUGUAAAGCACUUUCAGUGAGGAAGAACGCCUGGUGGUUAAUACCCAUCAGGAAAGACAUCACUCACAGAAGAAGCACCGGCUAACUCCGUGCCAGCAGCCGCGGUAAUACGGAGGGUGCGAGCGUUAAUCGGAAUUACUGGGCGUAAAGCGCGCGUAGGUGGCUUGAUAAGCCGGUUGUGAAAGCCCCGGGCUCAACCUGGGAACGGCAUCCGGAACUGGCAAGCUAGAGUGCAGGAGAGGAAGGUAGAAUUCCCGGUGUAGCGGUGAAAUGCGUAGAGAUCGGGAGGAAUACCAGUGGCGAAGGCGGCCUUCUGGACUGACACUGACACUGAGGUGCGAAAGCGUGGGUAGCAAACAGGAUUAGAUACCCGAGUAGUC